AUUCCCUCAAGUGGUACAGAAGGUUAGUGCUGCAUGAAGCUGUUUGGGUUUGCAGGUCUGGAGCCAUAACCUGCCUGCUCCUACUUUCCAUAUGUUUAGGGUCUACCUGGGAAGGAUGGAAUUCCCGGGCUGCCGGGCAGACCGGGGCGGACAGGUCCUCCUGGUCCCCCUGGACUCAUGGGUCUCCCUGGCAUCCAAGGUGAUACUGGCUCUCCUGGCUAUCCUGGACCAGCGGGGCCAAAAGGAGAGAGAGGCGAACCAGGCUAUGUCCUGGGAGGAGUAGAGGUGAUUCCUGGCCGAAAUGGGCAGCCUGGCCCCCCUGGACAGAAAGGGCAGCCGGGGGUUCCUGGGGUAGCAGGACCACCAGGUUUACCAGGGCCACAGGGGCCACCAGGGAUCUCCAUCAAGGGUGAACACGGGGAUUCAGGUACCAGGGGCCCUCGUGGGAGGAAUGGCCUCAAGGGUGACAGAGGAGGAAUGGGAGAGCCGGGGAAACCUGGGUUGCCAGGCCCAGUAGGGCUAGAUGGUGUUCCUGGAUUGCCUGGACCAAGGGGAGAAAAGGUCACUAUUCAGAUGCUUGCAGGAUCCACCAGCCCAAGGGGGAGCUGAGAAUAGCUGAGACAAAGUAAUAACAGGGUAGACAUGUGGG
Long non-coding RNA from Calidris pygmaea (Spoon-billed sandpiper), 649 nucleotides. NCBI's taxonomy places the organism in Eukaryota, Metazoa, Chordata, Aves, Charadriiformes, Scolopacidae. The record is from Ensembl.